Cyprinus carpio (common carp) is the source of this 297-nucleotide long non-coding RNA. The record is from Ensembl. NCBI's taxonomy places the organism in Eukaryota, Metazoa, Chordata, Actinopteri, Cypriniformes, Cyprinidae.
AUGGGUACAUUAAACUGUCUCCCUCAUCAACCCCCAGUGGGUCAAAUUAAGACCCCUGUCCAGUGUGCGGAGAACCCUAAAGGAUCAGGUGGAGUUAUAAUAUAUGACCAGAUGAUGUUCGCCAUGAACAAACAACACUUGGUGGCAGUUCUUCUCUCUAGAGGUGAAAAACUCUGUCAGACCAGUUCUGUUGUAAUGGCAAGUGAAGACAAGAAAGAGAAAUGAUUCCCAAGACCUUAACAUCUCACCAUUUAUACUUCAAAUAAAGGCAUUUUACCAUCAUUUGUGUCUUUGUGC